This 790-nucleotide ribosomal RNA is filed under the name uncultured bacterium. RNAcentral describes it as "bacterial SSU rRNA". It matches the Rfam family "Bacterial small subunit ribosomal RNA", at positions 558 to 1346 of the family's 1533-position model. The record is from RNAcentral.
GCGUAAAGAGCUCGUAGGCGGUUUGUCGCGUCUGCUGUGAAAACCCGAGGCUCAACCUCGGGCUUGCGGUGGGUACGGGCAGACUAGAGUGCGGUAGGGGAGAUUGGAAUUCCUGGUGUAGCGGUGGAAUGCGCAGAUAUCAGGAGGAACACCGAUGGCGAAGGCAGAUCUCUGGGCCGUAACUGACGCUGAGGAGCGAAAGCAUGGGGAGCAAACAGGCUUAGAUACCCUGGUAGUCCAUGCCGUAAACGUUGGGAACUAGAUGUGGGGACCAUUCCACGGUCUCCGUGUCGUAGCUAACGCAUUAAGUUCCCCGCCUGGGGAGUACGGCCGCAAGGCUAAAACUCAAAGGAAUUGACGGGGGCCCGCACAAGCGGCGGAGCAUGCGGAUUAAUUCGAUGCAACGCGAAGAACCUUACCAAGGCUUGACAUAUACGAGAACGCGCUGGAGACAGCGAACUCUUUGGACACUCGUAUACAGGUGGUGCAUGGUUGUCGUCAGCUCGUGUCGUGAGAUGUUGGGUUAAGUCCCGCAACGAGCGCAACCCUCGUCCUAUGUUGCCAGCACGUAAUGGUGGGAACUCAUGGGAUACUGCCGGGGUCAACUCGGAGGAAGGUGGGGAUGAGGUCAAAUCAUCAUGCCCCUUAUGUCUUGGGCUUCACGCAUGCUACAAUGGCCGGUACAAUGGGCUGCGAUACCGCAAGGUGGAGCGAAUCCCAAAAAGCCGGUCUCAGUUCGGAUUGAGGUCUGCAACUCGACCUCAUGAAGUCGGAGUCGCUAGUAAUCGCA